RNAcentral lists this ribosomal RNA (399 nucleotides) under uncultured bacterium. Its description in RNAcentral is "partial 16S ribosomal RNA". It matches the Rfam family "Bacterial small subunit ribosomal RNA", at positions 338 to 729 of the family's 1533-position model. The record is from RNAcentral.
CCUACGGGAGGCAGCAGUGGGGAAUAUUGCGCAAUGGGCGUAAACCUGAACCAGCGAAGCCGCGUGAGGGAUGAAGGUCUUCGGAACGUUAACCCCUGUCUGCAGGGGAGAACGGUGUCUGUGCUGAUCUGCAGUGAAUUGACGGUAUCUGUAAAGAUCGCCUCGGCUCACUCCGGGCCAGCAGCUGCGGUAAUACGGAGGGUGCGAGCGUUGAUAGGAUUUACUGGGCGUAAAGCGCUCGUAGGCGGUAUGUCAAGUCAAGGGUGAAAUCCCCGCGCUCAACGAUGGAACUGCCGUUGAAACUGGCAAACUUGAGUGUGUGAGAGGAUAGUGGAAUGCGAGGUGUAGGAGUGAAAUCCGUAGAUAUCUGGAGGAACAUCAGUGGCGAAGGCGACUAGC